This 800-nucleotide ribosomal RNA is filed under the name uncultured bacterium. RNAcentral describes it as "bacterial SSU rRNA". It matches the Rfam family "Bacterial small subunit ribosomal RNA", at positions 8 to 835 of the family's 1533-position model. The record is from RNAcentral.
AGAGUUUGAUCCUGGCUCAGGACGAACGCUUGCGGCGUGCCUAAGAAAUGCAAGUCGAACGGGGGCUUCGGCCCCAGUGGCGAACGGUCGCGUAACACGUAAGCAACCUGCCCUGAAGUGGGGGACAACAUCCCGAAAGGGGUGCUAAUACCGCAUGUGGUCACGAGUCGGCAUCGACUUGUGUCUAAAGAUUUAUCGCUUCAGGAUGGGCUUGCGGCCUAUCAGGUAGUUGGUGGGGUAAUGGCCUACCAAGCCGACGACGGGUAGCUGGUCUGAGAGGACGAUCAGCCGGAUUGGGACUGAGAUACGGCCCAGACUCCUACGGGGGGCAGCAAUUAGGAAUCUUGCGCAAUGGGGGAAACCCUGACGCAGCGACGUCGCGUGAAGGAUGAAGGCCCUCGGGUCGUAAACUUCUUUUGAGUGGGAAGAAAUUUGACGGUACCACUCGAAUAAGCCCCGGCUAACUACGUGCCAGCAGCCGCGGUAAUACGUAGGGGGCGAGCGUUGUCCGAAGUUACUGGGCGUAAAGCGCGCGUAGGCGGUUAUUUAAGUCUGGGGUGAAAGGUUCAGCGCUCAACGUGAACAGUGCCUUGGAUACUGGAUGACUUGAGUCUGGGAGGGGGAAGGGGAAUUCCUGGUGUAGCGGUGAAAUGCGUAGAUAUCAGGAGGAACACCGGUGGCGAAGGCGCCUUCCUGGCCUAAGACUGACGCUGAGGUGCGAAAGCGUGGGGAGCAAACGGGAUUAGAUACCCCGGUAGUCCACGCCGUAAACGAUGAGUGCUAGGUGUCGGGGGUAUCGA